This is a long non-coding RNA of Pollicipes pollicipes, 1383 nucleotides long. RefSeq lists it as uncharacterized. The record is from RefSeq and is a predicted model, not a curated record. NCBI's taxonomy places the organism in Eukaryota, Metazoa, Arthropoda, Thecostraca, Pollicipedomorpha, Pollicipedidae. The transcript has 4 exons.
AUUCAAAGCCAAACUGAGCCAUGACCAGUUUAAAUUGCACAAGCUAAAGGUGGAGCCAAAUGCAAGGGUUUUGCAGAUUGAUUAAGAAAAGGGGUUAACAUUACCUCUGAUGGAACAUUUGACUUAUCUCCUCACCUCUUGCUAGCAUGAAUACAAUGUUUUAGAUAGCUCCCAAGCUUAAAUUGUUUCUUAGCUGAUCCUCAUUGUUUCAGGCUCUCAAACAUGCAUGAAUCACAGCCCUGAAAAAUCAUGUAAUUUAUGUGGUGAUAGUCCAGGAAGGCUGCUAGAGGCAACAUAAAAUUAAGUUAUAGCUUCUGGGAAAUAGCUAACAUGGCAAAGCCAAAACAACUUUAGUUUGCAUGAAGCCAAAAGUGAAGCAAUGAUGUAAAACAUUCUAAGAUGAAGGCAACUGCUAAAAAUGUCAUGCAGGUGGAGCCAAAGCCAGCCACAUAAAAUUACAUGAUGCUGAAGCUGAAACUUAUCUUGGGCAUGGAACAUUUUUCUAAGCUUCAGCUAAAUCUAAAGUUGUUUGAGGAAAUAGGCUUCUCAGAACCAAAUUACUUUGUCCUCACUUGCAUGUUAAGCCAUUCCCAUCACCCAUGCAGUAUGUUUGAGUGUGAAAUGGUCUGAAGAGGUCCAAAUUUAGGCCUACCGGGCAACUAAUCCACUGGGUAUGUACCAAGAACCAUACCUUCAGUAAUGUUUUGCAGAUUUCAUUGGGCAGGCUUUCUUGUGUUAUUUAUGAUCAAACAAAGGAAAUACUCAUGAAAUAAAAGCAAAACAUGGAGCUGAAAAAUAAAGUCAUGUUUUGACUUAACUUAUAUAGCUGACUUGUGUAUAUAUUUUCAGACAAAUUUAAUUGUUACAAUAAUACAUGCAUUAUUUCUCAUUAUCACCUGAAUAAGGAUAUGCAUAUCUGUUUUGAAUGACCUGAAAGAUCAAGCAGACAGAUUAAGAGUGACACUGUAGUUAACAAUUCAGCACAUGAGGGUGUGAUGCCACUUGUUUGAAGUUAACCAAACAUGUUCAGUCUUGCAAUAUGUGUGGCAUCAGUCAUUCAGGUCGCCUUUGGCCUGAAUGGCCGUGGGCUAACUCCCCUGGACUCAGCAUCAUUUGAUAAGAUAACAUCAAAGUUUAAGGCAACACUGAUCAAGUUUGAUAAAUACUUUCCAUAUGGUCCUGAUCAUGAUGAGUAUGUCAAAAUGGCAGUCAAUGCAGCAGACAACAGUGAUUUCCUUGUGGCUGAGGUUGGUGUCAAGGAUUAUGGUGAUUAUGAAAAUAAAGACCUACUGGAAAGGUUUGGAAUAUCACCUGAAGACCUACCUGUGAUCAAGCUUUACUUCCCUGACGGCCGGCCGCCGCUGCCCUUCAGCGGCCCGGUGA